RNAcentral lists this ribosomal RNA (460 nucleotides) under uncultured bacterium. Its description in RNAcentral is "partial 16S ribosomal RNA". It matches the Rfam family "Bacterial small subunit ribosomal RNA", at positions 338 to 795 of the family's 1533-position model. The record is from RNAcentral.
CCUACGGGAGACAGCAGUGAGGAAUAUUGGUCAAUGGACGAGAGUCUGAACCAGCCAAGUAGCGUGAAGGAUGACUGCCCUAUGGGUUGUAAACUUCUUUUAUAUGGGAAUAAAAUGUUCCACGUGUGGGAUUUUGUAUGUACCAUAUGAAUAAGGAUCGGCUAACUCCGUGCCAGCAGCCGCGGUAAUACGGAGGAUCCGAGCGUUAUCCGGAUUUAUUGGGUUUAAAGGGAGCGUAGGUGGAUUGUUAAGUCAGUUGUGAAAGUUUGCGGCUCAACCGUAAAAUUGCAGUUGAAACUGGCAGUCUUGAGUACAGUAGAGGUGGGCGGAAUUCGUGGUGUAGCGGUGAAAUUCUUAGAUAUCACGAAGAACUCCGAUUGCGAAGGCAGUUCACUGGACUGCAACUGACACUGAGGCUCGAAAGUGUGGGUAUCAAACAGGAUUAGAUACCCGGGUAGUC